Unclassified non-coding RNA from Vombatus ursinus (common wombat), 300 nucleotides. It matches the Rfam family "Metazoan signal recognition particle RNA". Rfam says of the family: The signal recognition particle (SRP) is a universally conserved ribonucleoprotein. It is involved in the co-translational targeting of proteins to membranes. The record is from Ensembl. Lineage: Eukaryota; Metazoa; Chordata; Mammalia; Diprotodontia; Vombatidae.
GCUGGGCAUGGUGGUGCGCACCUAUAAUUCCAGCUACUGAGGAGGCUGAGGCUGGAGAAUCUCUUGAGUUCAGGACUUCUGACCUGCAGCGGGCUAAGCUGAUCAGGCAUUUGCACUAAAUUCAGCAUUCGUAUGGUGAACCUCCAGAAGUGGAGGGCCAUCGGAUUGUCUAAGCUGGGGCAAACCAGCCCAAGUCAGAAAUGGAACAGAUCAAAACUUCUGUGCUAAUCAGAAUGGGAUCAAGUCCAUGAGUGGCCCCUGCACAUCCAGCUUGGGUGAGAUAGGAAGAUCCAGUCUUUA